RNAcentral lists this ribosomal RNA (855 nucleotides) under uncultured archaeon. RNAcentral's name for it is "bacterial SSU rRNA". It matches the Rfam family "Archaeal small subunit ribosomal RNA", at positions 68 to 910 of the family's 1478-position model. The record is from RNAcentral.
CCUAAAUCUCCCAUGGCAAACUGCUCAGUAACACAUGAUCAACUUACCCUAUAGAGAAAAAUAACCUCGGGAAACUGAGGAUAAUGUUUCAUAGUUGAAUAGGCUUGGAAAAGUUUUUCAAUAAAAGGGAUAAGGAAAAUGGUCCUUAUCCGCUAUAGGAUAGGAUCGUGUUCGAUUAUGGUUGUUGGUGAGGUAACGGCUCACCAAGCCGAUAAUCGAUAGGGGCCGUGAGAGCGGGAGCCCCGAGAUGGGUACUGAGACAACGACCCAGGCCUUACGAGGCGCAGCAGGCGCGGAACCUCCGCAAUACACGAAAGUGUGACGGGGUUACCCAAAGUGCUCUUUCUAGAGCUGUGGUAGGUGAGUAAUGUCCCCUACUAGAAAGGAGAGGGCAAGGCUGGUGCCAGCCGCCGCGGUAAAACCAGCUCUUCAAGUGGUCGGGAUAAUUAUUGGGCUUAAAGUGUCCGUAGCCGGUUUAGAAAGUUCCUGGUAAAAUCGGGUAGCUUAACUAUCCGCAUGCUAGGAAUACUGCUAUACUAGAGGGCGGGAGAGGUCUGAGGUACUACAGGGGUAGGGGUGAAAUCUUAUAAUCCUUGUAGGACCACCAGUGGCGAAGGCGUCAGACUGGAACGCGCCUGACGGUGAGGGACGAAAGCCAGGGGAGCGAACCGGAUUAGAUACCCGGGUAGUCCUGGCCGUAAACGAUGCAUACUAGGUGAUGGUACGGCCAUGAGCCGUGUCAGUGCCGUAGGGAAACCGUUAAGUGUGCCGCCAGGGAAGUACGGUCGCAAGGCUAAAACUUAAAGGAAUUGGCGGGGGAGCACCACAAGGGGUGAAGCCUGCGGUUCAAUUGGA